Pelodiscus sinensis (Chinese soft-shelled turtle) is the source of this 220-nucleotide small nucleolar RNA. It matches the Rfam family "Small nucleolar RNA U3". Rfam says of the family: Small nucleolar RNAs (snoRNAs) are involved in the processing and modification of rRNA in the nucleolus. There are two main classes of snoRNAs: the box C/D class, and the box H/ACA class. Lineage: Eukaryota; Metazoa; Chordata; Testudines; Trionychidae. The record is from Rfam.
AAGGCUGUGCUUUCAGGGGUUAUUUCUCAAGUGAGUGAGUGGAGAAGGGCGGUUAUGAAAGCCUAGCCUUUUUAACCACAGUGGAAAGCUGUAGUGGUGGGGGUUUUUUCUGAGCAUGAUUGUGGCAGGGAGUGCUGUGCUAUGGCAGUUGCUUUCUGCUGUGGAAGAGUGUCUUCUUUUUUCUGAGAAGAGCAAGGGAAGGGAGCAUAGUCUGAGUGGU